This 30-nucleotide non-coding RNA is filed under the name Mus musculus (house mouse). Lineage: Eukaryota; Metazoa; Chordata; Mammalia; Rodentia; Muridae. The record is from RNAcentral.
UGUAAGUGUGGUGCCCAUGCCUGUAAUGCC